CGCGGUCCUCGGGGAGCCCCGCAGCCCCACGGCGCCUCCUUCUCCACCCCCAGCACCCCACUGGAGCGGUCGCCGCCGGGCAGCGCUCUUUUUGACGAGGAGAGCCUCCGCGGGAAGCGGAGCCCCGGCUGCGAGCUGCCCUUCCUGGCGCGCACCCCCUCGGCCCUGGCGCUGAGCGGCACCGCCAGCCCCGCCAACAGCAUCUUCUCCUCGCCCCGCCGCUGGCUGCAGCAGAGGAAGGGGCAGCCCUCGUCGCCCGAGCCUCGCCCCGCCGCCUACGUCGUGUGGAAAUCCGAGAAACACAUCUGGAGGCUGCAUCAGGGCAUUGUUGAAGUCCAAAUGUGUGCCCUUUAGCUCUUUAAACUGGUACCAUCCAGCUGAUCAGAUGGUAAAUGGAAAUUCUAAUUGCUGUAGAAUGUGGGUGUCUGGCAUAAGUGCCAAAAUUAAAAAGAGAAUAUCUGCUGUUCUUUUGUAACUUAUGUUCUGUGAUAGCUGAUCUGGAGGGCACUCUCAUGGAGGCAGCUAGGCUGCACUGCUAUAUUUGUCAGAGCUUCCUCUCUGGAAGUCCAUUUUAAGCAAAGCUCUCAGGUGUUUGGAGGCCUGGUUGUUUGGGAAUCUGUCUGACAAACUGGCUGGAAACUAGAUACCAUUUUGCUUUCUACCAGGGAAAUCCUUCCCUUAUCCUGAAAGGCUGCCAAUCUCCCAGCAGAGACAGUGAGGUGCCACUGCCAGAGGAGUGGGUAGAGAUAACAGGGCAUGAUCCUUAUUGCCUGUGCUCCACAAACACAAACUUUUCUGCCAGAACUGCUGAAUCCUGAUGAUGGGGUUGGGAUCAGAGAGAACCAUCACCACUUGGCAAGUUGAAGAGCUGUUAAGCCCUGGAAAUGGAAACACGGGGAGCUGCAAUGAGCUCACCUUCAUGGACAUACUGCAGUUGUGGUGGCCAUGGUCUCAGGUGGCAGGACAUCUUUCCUGAGUGGUUUGAGCUCUUGGAUACCCUUCUUUUGGACCAAGUCCAGUUACUUGGAAUUAGCAUUCAGCAUGACAUUUAACUAUAGAACUUUUUUUGAGCUGAAGAUAGCAGGCUUAAGAUGAAUUAACUUGAAUUAUAGUUGAAAAGAACGAGAUUAUUGCAGUGAAUUAUUUAUUUCUGGCUUCCUUACAGUUCUUUGAAACACACUCCCUUAGUUGAGAUGAAGGCAUUUAAUAACCAUAUUGCUCUGCUAGAGGGUGACUGGCCCUUUAAUUAAAAUAGGACCAAAGCAUCUGUAGGAAAGCAGGAGCUCUUCUUGUGCUGGAUCUGUCUCAGACAGAUGGAGGUGGAGUGGAAGCCAGUGGGAAAGGAAAAAUAUGGUUGGCAACAUCUGGGCCAAAUCAAAGCAAAGCUGGAAGCGAGCAAUUUGUCAGGCUGUUCCCAAGGAGAAUGUGAGGAUUUCAGUAGAAGGUACAUAGCAGGGGGAGCUACAGAGAGGCCUGCUUGCUGACCCCUCUUGAAAUAAAUCCAAGGCUAGAGGAGGCUGAAAACA
RNAcentral lists this long non-coding RNA (1526 nucleotides) under Parus major (Great Tit). RNAcentral describes it as "lncRNA (ENSPMJG00000011531.1)". Lineage: Eukaryota; Metazoa; Chordata; Aves; Passeriformes; Paridae. The record is from RNAcentral.